CCAGCAGCACAAAUAAAUAAAGAUGCUCCAGCAUGAAUGCUCAAUCAAGGUUGCUAAACCUAUAAUGAAUUUUAAUUCCCACACAAUUAUUUAGUUGCUAGAUUUCUAUGCCCACAAAAGUACUUAAAUAAAUUAAAUUAAAUCCUAUUAUUUAAAAAUCAAAUUUUGGGUGUUACAAGUUAUCCCUUGUUACUGUUGACGUUGGCGUUCAUUCAUAGAUGGAUUGUUAUUGCUGGGAGAGUGGGAGAUAGACGAUGAUGAUUCUGUGUGGAUUAGCCAGCUAUAGCUAUAUCUAUAUAUGUAAAGAUUAAAUAUUUGUCAUAUAUAUAUGUAUAUAUGGAAAUCGCCGUGUCGAGCUUGAUAUCUCUCUAGCAAGCUAGCUAUAGUUACCCCUCGAUUGUAUUGUCUCUUGUAUUUUAACUUAAAAGAGGAUAAGGUUCUUCAGAUAGAAGAGGGAAAUUAUAGAGUGGGCCGGUGCAUGCAUGUGCCCAUCCAGAUCGAGUCAACUCGAUCGACGUGUGUGCCGAUCGAUCAGCGGAGCAACGGUGCAUCAGUCUCAACAGCGACGCGACGGUGCUUCGUCAUCUCAUUCAGUCUGUAUCUGCAAUGCAACUGCUGUGCAGGCGCAAGUUGAAGUUGGACACGGCGGACGACAGGGCGCGGCGUCGGCUCGCCGAUCGAUCACUGCUGAUGGAUCGACGAGGACCACGGCACCACCGUACCCUACCACCAGAUCGGACCACCGGAGAAAGCCACGGUCUCGGUGCAUGUUUUAUAAAAAUGUCAUAUAUAUAUAUAUUAAAUAAGAUGUUACAUAAGUAAAAUUGCUGACUUGACAGAGUCAUUAAAUGAAGAAGAUUCAUAAAAUAAGAGAAGAAUUUUAUCCCUAUAAAACUCAUAUAGCUCAGCCAUAAAACUAAGACUGCGAGUUAAAGGAUGGCAGCUACCGGCAGGCAUGCAUGCAUUUCGUGCAAUCAUCCAGCGAUACGAGGUGUCCCUUGAGAGAGACAAUACAAAUUAAACCGCAUGCAUGGGCACACAGCAGGG
Molecule: long non-coding RNA, 1047 nt
Filed under: Sorghum bicolor (sorghum)
Lineage: Eukaryota; Viridiplantae; Streptophyta; Magnoliopsida; Poales; Poaceae
Description: long non-coding RNA (SBIC_LNC001926)
Source: RNAcentral